RNAcentral lists this unclassified non-coding RNA (22 nucleotides) under Mus musculus (house mouse). Its description in RNAcentral is "oocyte_clustered_small_RNA7687". The record is from RNAcentral. Lineage: Eukaryota; Metazoa; Chordata; Mammalia; Rodentia; Muridae.
UUGCGCGCCCCCGACUAGCCAG